GUCGGGAUGAUCAGGCUCGAGCCGAUCCUCCCACCCUUUGUGUACCUACCUCUGUUGCUUUGGCGGGCCGCGGUCCCCCGCGGCCGCCCCCCCUCCCCGGGGGGUGGCUAGUGCCCGCCAGAGGACCAUCAAACUCCAGUCAGUGAACGUCGCAGUCUGAAAAAACAUUCAAUAAACUAAAACUUUCAACAACGGAUCUCUUGGUUCUGGCAUCGAUGAAGAACGCAGCGAAAUGCGAUAAGUAAUGUGAAUUGCAGAAUUCAGUGAAUCAUCGAAUCUUUGAACGCACAUUGCGCCCCUUGGUAUUCCGAGGGGCAUGCCUGUUCGAGCGUCAUUACAACCCUCAAGCUCUGCUUGGUAUUGGGCACCGCCCUUCUUCGGGCGCGCCUCAAAGACCUCGGCGGUGGCUGUCUUGCCUCAAGCGUAGUAGAAUACACCUCGCUUCGGAGCGCAGGGCGUCGCCCGCCGGACGAACCUUCUGAACUUUUCUCAAGGUUGACCUCGGAUCAGAUAGGGAUACCCGCUGAACUUAAGCAUAUCAAAAACCCAAAAGAAA
RNAcentral lists this ribosomal RNA (556 nucleotides) under Macrophomina phaseolina. RNAcentral describes it as "eukaryotic LSU rRNA". The stretch from base 181 to 334 matches the Rfam family "5.8S ribosomal RNA". The record is from RNAcentral. Lineage: Eukaryota; Fungi; Ascomycota; Dothideomycetes; Botryosphaeriales; Botryosphaeriaceae.